GAUAAUCACGAAUCAUAAAAAGCCCAAAAGAAGAAUGGACAAGCUGCAUGUAAUAACCACUCUACUACUUUUAACAGCAACAGUUGUGAAUACUACAAAAAUAAUUAUUACUUCAUCGUCGUCAUUUCGAAAUGGGGACGAGUCGUUAACCAUUUUUUGUGAGGUGUCAUCUAGACUUGGAUUGGAUAAAAUCACAAAUAUCCAUCUUGAAAGAGGUUCUGUAUUUCUUGGAUCAAUUGAUGAAAACGGCACAAAGAUGGGAUGGAAAAAACGUUCGUUUUCAUAUGAAAUUUUCGGCGAAUUUCACCCCUCUUCCCCUACACGUUCCUAUCUACAACUGGUUAUUAGGAACCCCAGUACCGAAGAUCAAGGCACCUAUGAAUGUACAACAGUCGGCCUGGAAGUAAAACAUAUAACGGAUACUCAACGACAGUAUGUCAGACUCGAAGAUUCAGGAAGUACAAUCUCAGAAAGUUCUAUUACAGAAAGGCAUGUCACAUGCAGUGCUGUGUCAUCCUGGUGUGUUAUAUAUCAAACCUUUCAAGUAUUUACCUUGACGGGAUUCUUGAUACUAUGCAAUAAUAUUGUAUAUUGACCGGAUACUUGAUAUUACAUUAAUAUUGUAUUGACCGGAUAGACAAUAUGCUCAUUUGACAAUGCUAUAGACUGGUACCUCUUUGCUGUAUUGACUCUAUGUUUAGUUGCUGAUCAUUUAACGACACCUUUGUGUUCAGUUAAAAUUCGUUUUUACUUUUUUACUCAUGGAUUUGGAGUUAGUCUGUGUUGUGAAUGGAAUCCUUUUCGUGUUGAAUUGACUUAACCACCUCAUUUAAACAAAAUAUUUAAGUCAGACAACUGAAAAGAAUACACAGGUCACAAUUCUAUAAUUACCGCUUAUUGCUGUUGAUUUACUAAAUGCCAUUGAAACAAAUCAACUGAAAUGAGGUAGUUAGCUUUUCAUGUAGUACAGGUCACCAAUAUUAAACCGGAACAUAGUAAAUAUCCAUAAAGGACAAUAUUCUACAUUGUAUAAGACAAACUGGUGGAUGAGGUAAAGAGUGCUUUGGAUCGAUUGAAGUCGCCUGUCCGACCCUGUGUUUUUUUUCUGAGCACUAUUUAUUUAGCACCAAACCAUCUGAUUAAAACACAAAUCAUUUUCAGUUUCGUUUUUUACAGUUCAAAACUGCGUUUACUGCAGUAGGAUCUGAAAUAAUUGAAACAUGUGUUCUGGUUGAUAUGAGGGGUGAGCCAAUCAAAUGGUCUGUUGAGUGAGUUCCCGUGGGUAGACAUUCGCAGCGGUAGAAAACAAAUCAAAGCACAAGUUGUAUUUCCGAAUACCCAUUUGAUACACCAAGUUAUUUAUUUAAAAUGUAUCUCAUUUUAUUGUUUUUUGUGCUUGCUUUAAAUAUUUUUAGCUAAACUUGUGGUGUCACCAAAAGUGUUGUAGCCAGUGCACAUAUGACACAUUUAUUACUCUGUUCUUUCAAACAUUAGAUUAAAGGAAUCAUCCCGAUUUUAUCAGAGUCUCAGAAAUAAAAGUUCGUGUACGUAUGAAAUAAGCGCCAAAAUAUAGAGAAAUGGUGAAUUUACCUCAGCUCAAAAUAUCAAGUCGUUUGGGCAAGAACGUCAAAACCGCUUAUCGGGUCAGGUAACCCUUUUAAGAUUUCGGUUUAAAGUUUGGUUUUAUCCGGACACUGUAUAAUACAGCUUAGGACACCGUUAUCCAUUCCCAGAUGAAGACUGACGGGUUUAAGUUGUUUAAAAAAGUUAUCACGUAUAUUGAGUUAGUUGCUCGGCCCUAAGGUAUAGGAUUUUAAGGGCUUUUAACACAAAAUUAAGCAGUUUUAUUCUCCAAAAUAUAAUCGAGGUUGACCCUUUAAAACACAUUCUGUCAAGGACUUGGGAAACAGUUCUGUCCCAAUCCAUAUGAGCAGGUGACUAUAUUUAACAGAUCGCCACCCAGUUAAUGCUAGAGCAACAAACUCCUUUGUUUUAUUCUUUCGAUUUAUACCUUGCGUAUGCAUAAUUAUUCUUCUGCAAAAUUGUCAUUUACAAACUACUUUGUGGUAAUGACGACACUGAAGAUGAAUUCCAUUUUGUCCUGAAGUGUCCUGUUUAAAAAAUCGAUCAGAGAACAAUACCUUAAACGGUAUUAUUUUGUAAAAACUUCGGUAUGUAAACUUACCCAGUAGUUCGCAUCAAACAAAGUAAAGGUUUUGAACAAUCUGGUUAAAUUUUUAAAACAGGCUUUGUGUGUAAGAGAAAGUUUACUUACGGUUCGGUAGCUGAUUAUAUUAUUAUUAUUGUUCUCAAUGACUCUGUAUGAUUGUGCCAUCGAUGCAAUGUAUAUUUUCUUUAUUUAUAUGCCGUAAGGCAUUUGA
This is a long non-coding RNA of Patella vulgata (common limpet), 2381 nucleotides long. RefSeq lists it as uncharacterized. The record is from RefSeq and is a predicted model, not a curated record. Lineage: Eukaryota; Metazoa; Mollusca; Gastropoda; Patellidae. The transcript is spliced from 3 exons.